CAGAGGUCCCGAGCGUUGUUCGGAUUCACUGGGCGUAAAGGGUGCGUAGGUGGUGAGGUUAAGUCGGAUGUGAAAUCUCCGGGCUCAACCCGGAAAUGGCAUUGGAAACUACCUUGCUGGAGGAUUUGAGGGGGGAUUGGAAUACUUGGUGUAGCAGUGAAAUGCGUAGAUAUCAAGUGGAACACCAGUGGCGAAGGCGAAUCCCUGGAAAAUACCUGACACUGAGGCACGAAAGCUAGGGGAGCAAACAGGAUUAGAUACCCUGGUAGUCCUAGCCCUAAACGGUGCUUGCUUGCUGUAAGAGGAAUCGACCCCUCUUGUGGCGGAGCUAACGCGUUAAGCAAGCCGCCUGGGAAGUACGGUCGCAAGAUUA
This 373-nucleotide ribosomal RNA is filed under the name uncultured organism. Its description in RNAcentral is "bacterial SSU rRNA". It matches the Rfam family "Bacterial small subunit ribosomal RNA", at positions 526 to 896 of the family's 1533-position model. The record is from RNAcentral.